GACUAUUCCCGACUUUAAUUGCUAUAUAAAAACUACUAUUGUGUAGGAGUGACCUUAAGCAAUCUUAGUUGUAAAAAAGAAUUCUAUACUGGGAUGGCAAGGAGCCCAAGCUCUUAUUUUUUCUUUCUUUUUUACAAUAAGAUAGUUAAAGAAUUACCUACUAUAACACUUAAUAACAAAGGUUACAUUACAAAAAUAAUUCUUUGCAAAUAAAUCAUACUACAUUGAAGAAGAACUCACCUAAUUGCAUCUCUAGCCAACUUGUCACUUGUUAACAAACUUCCAAAAUAUGUGACUCUUUUCCUAACCGAUCUCGAACUAAACGUUCUAAAUAAGGAUUUAAGGCUUAAAGAUAAUAGAUUAAAGGUUCUAUCUAUCUUAUUCCAUCUACACCUAUAAGAGAGAUUAAAGACUUAUCUUUUUCAUGUCUUCUUUUUAGAUUCUACCCUCUAAUUCCUAGCUCCUGCUCCUUGUAUUCAAGCAAUUUUCUAAAAUUUUAAAGAAAGAAUAAUUGACAAGAUUCAAGGACUUACUUGGUUACAAGCUAUUAAUGCUUUCCUUCUCUCUUCUUGUACUCCUUCGCCUCAACCAUAAUCUGUGUUAGCAAAAUAAAUUUAAAUUCAAUGAAGUUUGUUGAAAAGAUAUUCAUCUUAGAUUAUGAUUUGAACUUGUUGGUCUUCUCUUUUCUUCUUUCCUACAUUUUUCCUUGUUUUUUCCAAUUCCUUCUAGCUAAUUUUUCUAUCUAUCUCUUCUUCUUUUGUUGAUGAAGAAUUCUCUUGAAGUUCUUGUUGAGUUCUUUCUACACUACUUUCUAUGAAUAGAAGGGAUACGAGGGGUGGAGUGAGUGAUUAAAUCUCCCUACCACUAGAGAGAAGCCCUCAACUAGAAGUUCACAAGGGUGAAAAGAAAUG
This 911-nucleotide long non-coding RNA is filed under the name Physcomitrium patens. RNAcentral's name for it is "long non-coding RNA (PPAT_LNC007429)". The record is from RNAcentral. Lineage: Eukaryota; Viridiplantae; Streptophyta; Bryopsida; Funariales; Funariaceae.